This 495-nucleotide ribosomal RNA is filed under the name uncultured bacterium. Its description in RNAcentral is "partial 16S ribosomal RNA". It matches the Rfam family "Bacterial small subunit ribosomal RNA", at positions 28 to 507 of the family's 1533-position model. The record is from RNAcentral.
GAUGAACGCUGGCGGCGUGCCUAAUACAUGCAAGUAGAACGCUGAAGGAGGAGCUUGCUCUUCUGGAUGAGUUGCGAACGGGUGAGUAACGCGUAGGUAACCUGCCUGGUAGCGGGGGAUAACUAUUGGAAACGAUAGCUAAUACCGCAUGACAACAGUUAUUGCAUAAUAACUGUUUAAAAGGGGCAACUGCUCCACUACCAGAUGGACCUGCGUUGUAUUAGCUAGUUGGUGAGGUAACGGCUCACCAAGGCGACGAUACAUAGCCGACCUGAGAGGGUGAGCGGCCACACUGGGACUGAGACACGGCCCAGACUCCUACGGGAGGCAGCAGUAGGGAAUCUUCGGCAAUGGACGGAAGUCUGACCGAGCAACGCCGCGUGAGUGAAGAAGGUUUUCGGAUCGUAAAGCUCUGUUGUAAGAGAAGAACGAGUGUGAGAGUGGAAAGUUCACACUGUGACGGUAUCUUACCAGAAAGGGACGGCUAACUACGUG